UGCAGUCGAACGGCAGCAUGAUCUAGCUUGCUAGAUUGAUGGCGAAGUGGCGAACGGGUGAGUAAUACAUCGGAACGUGCCCUGUAGUGGGGGAUAACUAGUCGAAAGAUUAGCUAAUACCGCAUACGACCUGAGGGUGAAAGUGGGGGACCGCAAGGCCUCAUGCUAUAGGAGCGGCCGAUGUCUGAUUAGCUAGUUGGUGGGGUAAAGGCCCACCAAGGCGACGAUCAGUAGCUGGUCUGAGAGGACGAUCAGCCACACUGGGACUGAGACACGGCCCAGACUCCUACGGGAGGCAGCAGUGGGGAAUUUUGGACAAUGGGCGAAAGCCUGAUCCAGCAAUGCCGCGUGUGUGAAGAAGGCCUUCGGGUUGUAAAGCACUUUUGUCCGGAAAGAAAUGGCUCUGGUUAAUACCUGGGGUCGAUGACGGUACCGGAAGAAUAAGGACCGGCUAACUACGUGCCAGCAGCCGCGGUAAUACGUAGGGUCCAAGCGUUAAUCGGAAUUACUGGGCGUAAAGCGUGCGCAGGCGGUUGUGCAAGACCGAUGUGAAAUCCCCGAGCUUAACUUGGGAAUUGCAUUGGUGACUGCACGGCUAGAGUGUGUCAGAGGGGGGUAGAAUUCCACGUGUAGCAGUGAAAUGCGUAGAGAUGUGGAGGAAUACCGAUGGCGAAGGCAGCC
This 681-nucleotide ribosomal RNA is filed under the name Ralstonia sp. M67C1b. RNAcentral's name for it is "bacterial SSU rRNA". It matches the Rfam family "Bacterial small subunit ribosomal RNA", at positions 56 to 726 of the family's 1533-position model. Lineage: Bacteria; Pseudomonadati; Pseudomonadota; Betaproteobacteria; Burkholderiales; Burkholderiaceae. The record is from RNAcentral.